RNAcentral lists this non-coding RNA (29 nucleotides) under Mus musculus (house mouse). Lineage: Eukaryota; Metazoa; Chordata; Mammalia; Rodentia; Muridae. The record is from RNAcentral.
UGUUAUUCCAGAUGAAUUUGCAAAUUGCC